RNAcentral lists this unclassified non-coding RNA (545 nucleotides) under Hevea brasiliensis (rubber tree). Lineage: Eukaryota; Viridiplantae; Streptophyta; Magnoliopsida; Malpighiales; Euphorbiaceae. The record is from RNAcentral.
CUACUUGUAACACUGAAAGUUAAUUGGAAAUUAUUUUCUAACAUUUGGAGUGUAUGAGAAAAUAAUAAUUUUCUUUCAAUAAAAAGAUCAUGAGAAUAUUUGAAUCUAUUAGGACUUUAUAUUUUUCCAUGUGAAGUUGUUUAAGUCUAAGUGUCCUUCACACAUAGCUGUUGCAGAGGGAUGGGUUCUAGAUGGGUCUUCGGGAAGAAAAAGCGCAAAGGGAAGAGGAAGAAAAAUGAGCUGGUGACUCAAUCCCUAGGCUUUAAUACCAUGUAGAAAAAGAAGAGGAGAAUUUUGGAGAAUAAAAUGUUUUAUUAUUUCCUCAAGCCUUGGGGAUUAAAUUGAAUACAUAAAUUUCUGAAUAGGAAACAUGCAUAAUUUGUCAGAGAUGCAUUUAAUGGCAAGGCUUAUGCAAGAUGUGGGCAACAGGAUGAAGAAGGCAAUGGCAUCCAAAAUGGCAGCAACAACUAACCAUAUCAAGAUUUUAUGAAUAUUAUCAAAUUAAGAUGUUAUUUUGAUUAUAAUCUCUUGAUUAAAGCCUUGAA